GGAAAACAACUAGUCUCCUAUAUAUAAAAGGGUGUGGUUUCUUACCUAUGUAUUGUUUCUUGUGAUACUAAAAAAAAAUGGGAAAAAACUUAUUUGUGUUGAUGUUACUCUUUGCUCUCUUUGCUACUGAUGAGACUUUGGUGACUUUGACACAAGCAAAGAUGUGUGAAACGACAAGUCAUGCAUUUAGUUGUGCGAAUGAUGGGCAAUGUAAUAGCUCCUGUGAAAAGAAAGGAUUCAUUAGUGGCAAAUGUGAUGGUGUUCGUCGUCGUUGUACGUGUUUCAAGCAGUGUGUUUGAACAUAAUAUAUUUUCUGUAAAACUAUAUAUAAAACUAUACUUAAUUUGGUGUAUGCCAUCGAUCAUGUAUUGAGAGAAUAAAUUUAUAUAGACUUAGUAUACACAAUCAAGAUUAUUAACAUGUU
Molecule: non-coding RNA, 424 nt
Organism: Lactuca sativa (garden lettuce)
Lineage: Eukaryota; Viridiplantae; Streptophyta; Magnoliopsida; Asterales; Asteraceae
Source: RefSeq, a predicted model, not a curated record